AAAGGCACAAGGGAGCUUGACUGCGAGACCUACAAGUCGAGCAGGGACGAAAGUCGGGCUUAGUGAUCCGGUGGUUCCGCAUGGAAGGGCCAUCGCUCAACGGAUAAAAGCUACCCCGGGGAUAACAGGCUUAUCUCCCCCAAGAGUCCACAUCGACGGGGAGGUUUGGCACCUCGAUGUCGGCUCAUCGCAUCCUGGGGCUGUAGUCGGUCCCAAGGGUUGGGCUGUUCGCCCAUUAAAGCGGUACGCGAGCUGGGUUCAGAACGUCGUGAGACAGUUCGGUCCCUAUCCGUCGUGGGCGCAGGAAAUUUGAGAGGAGCUGUCCUUAGUACGAGAGGACCGGGAUGGACGCACCGCUGGUGUACCAGUUGUCUUGCCAAAGGCAUAGCUGGGUAGCUAUGUGCGGAAGGGAUAAGUGCUGAAAGCAUCUAAGCAUGAAGCCCCCCUCAAGAUGAGAUUUCCCUGUUACUUUUUGUAACGUAAGAUCCCUGAAAGAUGAUCAGGUUGAUAGGUCAGAGGUGGAAGCGCGGUGACGUGUGGAGCUGACUGAUACUAAUCGAUCGAGGACUUAACCUAA
RNAcentral lists this ribosomal RNA (577 nucleotides) under Bacillus sp. SA1-12. RNAcentral's name for it is "bacterial LSU rRNA". It matches the Rfam family "Bacterial large subunit ribosomal RNA", at positions 2353 to 2925 of the family's 2925-position model. Lineage: Bacteria; Bacillati; Bacillota; Bacilli; Caryophanales; Bacillaceae. The record is from RNAcentral.